Molecule: ribosomal RNA, 245 nt
Filed under: uncultured bacterium
Lineage: Bacteria
Description: partial 16S ribosomal RNA
Rfam family: Bacterial small subunit ribosomal RNA
Source: RNAcentral
UACAGAGGGGGUAAGCGUUAUUCGGAAUUAUUGGGCGUAAAGGGCGCGUAGGCGGCCUGGCAAGUGGAAGGUGAAAUCCCUCGGCUUAACCGAGGAACUGCCCUCCAAACUGCUUGGCUUGAGUCCGGGAGAGGUGAGUGGAAUUCCCAGUGUAGCGGUGAAAUGCGUAGAUAUUGGGAGGAACACCAGUGGCGAAGGCGGCUCACUGGACCGGAACUGACGCUGAGGCGCGAAAGCGUGGGGAG